Molecule: long non-coding RNA, 2095 nt
Organism: Chroicocephalus ridibundus (black-headed gull)
Lineage: Eukaryota; Metazoa; Chordata; Aves; Charadriiformes; Laridae
Exons: 3
Source: RefSeq, a predicted model, not a curated record
AACGCGGCACCAAACGCGGCACCGAACCCGGCACCAAAACCGGCACUGAACCCGGCACCAAACCCGGCACCAAACCCAUCACCAAAACUCAUCACCGAACCUGGCACCAAACCCAUCACCAAACCCCAGCACCAAACCCAUCACCAAACCCCAGCACCGAACCCUGCACUGAACCCAGCACCAAACCCGUCACCGAAACCCGCACCAAACGCAUCACCAAACCCAGCACCGAACCCGGCAUCAAAUGCAUCACCGAUCCCAGCACCGAUCCUGGCACUGAACCCAGCACCAGCAGCAAAACGCCUCGGGUGGUGACGGGCUGGGUUUAUCCCGCUGAGCUGCUGAAGCCACGGGUGUGACGGCGGGAGCUGGGAGGUGACGGCGGGACUGAGAGCUGGGAUGGUGGGACAGGCAGAACCUCUGCUGCGGCGUCCGCCGGGACCCGGGAGCUGCGGGACUGGAUAAUGCGGGGUCCCAGCAGGGACGUGCAGUUUGGAAACCCGGUCAGGGAUGAGGAAUGUGCCGUACCCGGAGCUGCACAAACAGCCCGGAAGGAAAAGUGCCUCUUCCCAGCUAUAGUGAGUAAAACCGUGUCGUGAGACCAAUAUGAUUUUUGCUAAAUAGCCUCAGGACAAGGUGUUAAAGCCCCCUCUGCCCAGCCGGCUGAGCGCCUCGGCACCUGCUGAGCCCGCGUUUAAAUAGCUGCCGUGCCUAUCUUUAACCUUUUGUAAUGUGUUUAUAAAGGGAACUUCAAGUAAGACUAGCAGUUAGGAAAACACCGUGAAACGCAGUUGGAUGGAGAUCAGUACAUCCCUCCCUCCCACUGCCCCCCCCCGCUUUCCCCCGGGAAUGUUUGGCUUUUCCCAACACUGGUGUCCCCGUGAGCGUGGCUGGAGCUGGGGGAAGGAUGGUCCCGGUGCCCCCCCAGCACCGUGUCCCUCCCCGGGCAGGGGCUCGGGACCUUCAGGCAGCGUAGGGGCAUCAGGGCUCUUUGAUGUUUUUCAGGUCUAUUUGAAGUUUUUCAGGCCUAUUUGAUGUUCUGCUCGCGACAGCCACACUCUCCGAGGGGCGGGAAGCAGGAGGGUGGUCCCUGGUGCCUGGGACGAUGCUCUCCUCAGGGACAAAUGGGCUCCUCAGCAUCAUCCCCUUCUCUCCCAGAAAAUCCCGCAGUGGGCCCAGGGGCCCCUUCUGCCUCACACCUAGGGGCAGGCUCUGUUUUUCUCUACGCUCCGCCUGUCCCCAUUGUACCCCCUCCCCGUGUAUUUCGGUGACUCAUGAAGCUUCGAAAUGCUGAGGGUGGAGAAGGGCUAUUUCUGUGCUCCCGCUGCCAUCCCCGCUUCCCUCCGGCUGCGCUGGCGGGGCACCCCAGAACACACAGCACCCCCACCAUGCACCGCAUCCCAGAACACAGAGCAUCCCAGAACGCACAGCACCCCCGCCACGCACCGCAUCCCAGAACACACAGCAUCCCAGAACGCACCGCAUCCCAGAACACACAGCAUCCCAGAACGCACCGCAUCCCAGAACGCACCGCAUCCCUGCCACACACCGUAUCCCCACCACGCACCACAUCCCAGAACACACAGCAUCCCAGAACGCACUGCAUCCCAGAACACAGAGCAUCCCAGAAGGCACAGCACCCCCGCCAUGCACCGCAUCCCAGAACACACAGCAUCCCAGAACGCACUGCAUCCCAGAACACAGAGCAUCCCAGAAGGCGCAGCACCCCCGCCACGCACCGCAUCCCAGAACACACGGCAUCCCAGAACGCACCGCAUCCCUGCCACACACCGUAUCCCCACCACGCACCACAUCCCAGAACGCACCGCAUCCCAGAACGCACAGCACCCCCGCCACGCACCGCAUCCCUGCCGCCUCUAUUCUUAGCAGCUAAUAGCUGAAAUAAUGACUUUUGUCUCAGCGCUGUUGGCUCCAUAGGUUCAGAAGGGAGGAAACCUGCAGCUGGGGGAGCUCAGCUGUCCCCGGUCCCUCUCCCACAGUGGGGGGGUCCCGUCCCUGUGCUGCCCGGGGAUGCCGUGGGACGGCCAGCAGAGCCCACAGAGCCAGCAGAAGCUGAGGACGCAAAAUACCUUGG